Oncorhynchus tshawytscha (Chinook salmon) is the source of this 447-nucleotide long non-coding RNA. RefSeq lists it as uncharacterized. The transcript has 2 exons. The record is from RefSeq and is a predicted model, not a curated record. Lineage: Eukaryota; Metazoa; Chordata; Actinopteri; Salmoniformes; Salmonidae.
CCACGGCUCUAUUCGCCCGCACACGACCCGCGUCACUCCGUUCAACGUUACAUCCAGCGGGAGUCACGCUCCACAGUUCUGGUGGCACUAGAGGAGCCCGUCUACAUGCUGCCGGAGACGUCGGGAGACCAUGAGGAUGACAGAUGCAGUGCAGUUGGGUUAUUAACCGGCGGUCCCUCCUCCUCGCGCUCGUCCGUUCACUGUGCGACAGUGGGUUAAAUGCCAUACACAGCUGCGUCCUGAUGAUUGGCUCAGAAGUAGAAGUUCUCAGAUGCGACCACGGGGGACAUAUAGUAAGGGGUGUACCAGGCUAUAUUAAGUAUGGACAUAUUCGAGUGUCCUCAUAGUUUCAAACUAAAUAGGAUUUCAUGGACGUUUGUAAUUUCAUGUAGCUUACCAUAUUACAACAGCAAUGUCUGAAUACAGGUCCCCUUAUCUUCAGACUAA